Molecule: long non-coding RNA, 9879 nt
Filed under: Capsicum annuum
Lineage: Eukaryota; Viridiplantae; Streptophyta; Magnoliopsida; Solanales; Solanaceae
Description: long non-coding RNA (CANN_LNC018331)
Source: RNAcentral
GAGAAUCAGUCUUUGGAAAAAAAGGGGCAGCCCCGUGCACUAAAGCUCCCGCUAUGUGCAUUGCCGGACCACAAGGGUUUAUUUUGCGUAGCCUUACCUUGCAUUUCUGCAAGAGGCUGUUUUCACGGCUUGAACUCGUGACUUGGUCACAUGACAGAAUCAAUCUUUGAGAAAGUAAAAUUCUUAGGUACUAAGUUCCAACAAGAAUUCCCUGAGGCACUCGAAUCAUUUGGUUAGUUUCAUUUUCGAAAAAAGAGAUUGGUACUAUUGAUUAACUCGGCAUGGGUGGGAUAAUCAACUAGAAUGUUUCUAUAUAAUCACGUACCUUUACACUUGCUCCCGGAAUAUGAUUCUUUAAAAUAAUCUGGGAUAGAAAAGAGAAAAUCAGUCUUGGUAAUGUAAAACUUUUAGGUAGGAAGUGCCAACAACAGUCUCUCAAAAACACUCUGUCAGUGCAUUUUCAAAAGGAGUUUGGUCUAUCACUUUCGAUGAACCCCCAAAGCAAGUGAGCAACGUCCUUGUUUUGAUUGGUCUCUGUUGGCAUUUCCUACCUAAGGAGUUUUUGUACUAGUAUAAUGUACUAUACAGAUUAGAUAAGACAUUGAUCACUGUGGUAAAUCUACCUACCAAUAAAUUUCUUUGUCCCACGCCGUUGUAUUUCCAAGAACUCCACCAGUGAUUCGUAGUUCUCCGGGAGAUUCCGGUUGUUUUUCUGAUAUAAGUCUAUUUUUCUUUCAGCUUUAUAUGUCUCUUUCUCUAGCUCUUUGACAGUUGUGCCUGGAUAAAAGAGCCCAGUAUUAGCUAUAUAACCUCCACAAACGAUGAACAUAAACCAUUAUGCAAAAGUAUUGGAUGUUUAUGGCUAGCAAAAAACUGUAAAUGUGUUGGACUGACACAAAGAAUUAAGAGACUUUUACACUACUGGUGUAUAUAAUUUAAAUCCACGAUAAGAAUGCUUAUCUAUGCCACUUUUUGACUGAAAAAGGCCAGACUUACAGUAGUAGAUAAUGCUAUCUAGGAAUCGAAAACGGUUGCCACUUCUGAAUACUUGAGGCAUCCUGGAAAGGAUGUGUAGAGGAGACAUGCCUUGUGUGUUGUAACGGUUGACGAGUGGCUUAUAGUAAUGUAUUAUCUGAAAAGCCAGUUCUGUUACAAGAGAAGUUGUUAAUACUACUAUCCCAUUCUACCAGAAGAAGAACUUAAUAUAUGGAUAUUUAGUCAAACUUCUCUAUAAUGACGUCGUUUGUUUCGAUUAUUUUUGGCUAAUAUAGCGAAAUGCUGUUAUAAAGAACAUAUAAUAUAACAUAAUAUGAAAAUCAGUUUCAAAAAGUAUUUGGUUGUUGGUGAAAUAUUGUUAUAGCGGAUGACAGUUGUAGAGAGGUCUAACUGUAUAAUCGAAUUGUCUGUUUAUGGCUCUUACCAAAGUACUCGCCAGAGAUGGCGGCGUGUAGAAUAUUAUCCCCGUCUUUCCUUCUACAAAGUUCGAUUGGACCUUCUUCGUUUUCGUUUUGACAACAUUUAUGUAGGUAGAGAAAAGCGUCUUGCUUGCCGCGAUAAGCAGUUAUGAAUAAGGGGGUUUCCCCUUUUGAAUUGGUCUCCCAGAUGAGUUCAGGUUCUUCUGAGUUUACCAAACACUCAAUAAUGGGGACACUCCCAAGUUCUGCUGCAAGGUGAAGAGGUGUGUUCCCUUUUUCAUUCUUCUGCUUUAAGAUAUGUUCUCGAUUUUUCUUUGGUAUGUUAGUAAUCAUAUCCUUUAUACAAAGAAGAUGAGGAUGAUGUAAAUAGGUGUCUCGAUCUGGAUGGUAAGAAGAAAUAGCUAAGUGAAGAGCAGUAUCUUCGGAUCUAGUGAGUUUGGUUGUCCGGAGAGGCUCGUUUUCCAUGUACAGUUUCUUCACUUUAGUCCACUUAUUCUCCAUAGCUGCAUUGAAUAUCUCAUCUUCAAGAUUCGUCUUUUCUCCCGACUGAUCUAUAGGCGUUACCGGUUCUUGCUCUAAUGGUUGUGGUUGAAUUUCUGAUUUAACUCUAUUGCUAGAGGGAGCUAAAGGGUCCAUUUGCACUAUAGUUGUUUCUGUAUAUUGUGUUGAUGCCACUCACAAGUCACUUAUGGCUUUAAUAUAUACUGCUAGGAGAGGCAUUUUGCUGAGAAAUAUAUUUCUGUACAAGCCUCUAUGCUGGUGCAUGUGUGAUGACUCUUCUAGUACUCAAAGUAUUAAAGAAUCUAAUGUUUCUGUACUGUGACUUUUAAGAUAGUUGCUAAUAAUCAUCCAUGAUAAGUGAGUUGAGUUUAUCUUAUACACUUCGACUAGAAGUAUAUAUUCAUAUUAUUAGUACUGUAAUCCUGAUGGCAUUGAACUUUUUUACGUGGUCGGUGAAUUUAAGUGGGACUCUAAGUGAAAUUAGUGAUCUGAAAAAUGGAAGUGUGGAUGAAACGACAUCAAAUGUAGGAUUGUUGCUUUACACGAUCUCCAUUUUAGUAGUCCUAGUGUUCGUCCCAACCCUUUCGCAGGGUUACCUUCCCUUUUAGCAAGGCAAAUAGCCUCUGACAGUAGGUUUUAGGUAAUCUGUAGUGUAUAGAUGUUACAUAUUUUUCGUGCAUAUAAGUUAAAUCCUUGCGUCUUCAAUCCGCUCCUUCGCGUGCAGGCUUGGCUUUGUCAAUGGUCAAGCACGUGGUAGGACAAAGGGUGGUAGUGAGGCUUGAAGCAUGACCUCAGCUUACGCUAAUACCAUGUUAAACUGUGUGACAUCUGAAGUAAAAGGUUGAACUAUUUGAGGCAAUGAGUUGUGUGUCUGACAAUCCUCACACCGUGAACCAUCUUCUUGGGUUGAGUUAGGUUAUUCACAUUUGCGUAUUUAGACUUGAAGCAUGACCUCAGCUACUCUAAUACCAUGAUAAAUUGUGCGACCAUCUGAGGUAAAAAGUUGAACUAUUUGAGGAAAUGAGUUGUGUCCCCGACAAUCCUCGCAACGUGAACCAUCUUCUUGGGUUGAGUUAGGCUAUUCACAUGUGCGUAUUUAGACUUGAUGCAUGACCUCAGCUACUCUAAUACCAUGUUAAAUUGUGCGACCAUCUGACUUAAAAGGUUGAACUAUCUGUGCAAAUGAGUUGUGUGUCCGACAAUCCUCACACUGUGAACUAGCUUCUCGGGUUGAGUUGGGCUAUUCACACAUGUGUAUUUCUUGGUUUACCUAAUGUUAGGCAUUUACGUUAUGUGUCAAUGCACCAGAUGUCCAGUCUUGGGCAUAUGAGGGGAGGAGGCGAGUGUUUUUGUCCCACAUUAACCGUCACCUUAAAGCGUUGAGGUCGAGUUAGAUCCAAGAUACAUUUUCUUCACACUUUUAUGUCAUGCAAAACACAAAGGGUAAGACCUCUUUAGUCAUUUGUUCCCUUCUUGCUGUUAUCACCAAGCAUUUCUCUUUUUCUUUUUGCCUUUAUUCUAUGUUUUUGUCAUGCAAAACACAAAGGGUAAGAAACUCUUUUAUGUUUUUGUCCUGCUUUUACCAUAUAUUUUUCUUGCAUUUCCUAUAAUUUAGACAUCAUAUGACUUAUUAGUAUUACUAAUUUAGACAUCAUAGUAUUAUAGUCUUGCAAAUGCUGGAAAUUCCAGGUGUUGCUUCCUACAACAGUUGAAUAGAGAGAGAUGUACCCGAAUAGUAAUUGGUUUCGUUGUUUAUUUUGGUAGUCGGUAUACAUAGAUUAUACACUAUAUGUAGUUAUACGCAUAUUAUACGUUUGUCAUCUAUGUCUAGUACUGUUUUGUAUUUUAUUUGGUACUAUAUAUUCUUUGCUCAAAUGUUAAAAAGUUAUUCUCCUCUAGUUUCAAUGUUGUCAAAUGUGUUUGUUAUGGUUGAAAAUAUUUUUCGAAAAAAAAUGAAUUUAGGUGUUAUUUGGAGUGAUAUUCUUUGGGAAAAAGCUUUGGUUAAGGUUCAAAUGAUAUAUUUGUGUAAAUUGGAUAGUUGUUUGAUGAAUUUUUAAGCAUUGAAGAUUUUGAGUAGUAAUAAUUUUGAAGUGUGUGUUGGAAGAGUGAUAUGUGUUUGGGUCAAAAUUAUCAGGUGUCAUGUGAAAGCUAGCAAAGCAAAUUUUGGAAAACGUCCCAAGACAGACGAGAAAUAUAAUAGAAGGGAUAUAGUAAUUUAAGGUGGUUCGUUCAAUUGAUCUGCAUCCACAAAAAAGAGAUGUGUAAUCCACUAUCUAAUAGAGAAUACAAAAUAUCAAGAAAAAUAACUUCAAAAAAUUCACUCUAGAAUAAAAAUAGGUUACACAAGUGGCAUCGUAAUACUUGUGUUUCACAAAUUUUUCCUCUAAAUAAGACUCUCAGAGCCCUUACGACUACAUCGUGGACGUUGUUAAGCUAGAACAAGAAAGGAGCCUCAAUUUAUAGAGUCAAAAACUUUUCUUACAAGAUCAAGGUUUAACCAAAUAUGAAAAAUCCUUUCCUACAAGAACAAGGUUUAAUCAAACAUGAAAAAUCCCUAUUUUACUUUCUCUGAAAGGAAAAUCCAAUUACUGUAAGAUAGUCGAGGAAAACACCCUAACGAUAUGAAGUUAAACAUCGAGAUAGUUAUGAAAGAAAAUAACUUCCGCCCAAAAUUGAGGGAAUAACAUGAUUUGUCCUUCCUGACCCUCUCUUAAGCCUUUCAACGAUCGUGUAGGUAGUUGGGUCGAUCGAGUGUCUUUAUUCAAGCGAAGCGACGGUACAGAAGAAGAAUGAAAUAAAUUGUGAGAGCCCCACUCGGGUCACUCAAGAAAAUUGUGAGAGCCCCACCCGGGUCACUCAAGAUCAAGAGUCUGGAUUCACUGUGUCAUUCUAAAAGAUGUGAAAUAGCUGUGUCGUACCUUUUUUUAGUCACUUAGUAAUAGAUUCGUAACCGUAUAAAUACCUCUGUCUAUGGUUGUAAAUCACAAAUCUAAGAUUUUCUUUAUAAAAAUUUCGUACUAGUCAAACACCCUAACAUAAAUUAAAACGAAAUGGAUAAAUUAACAGAAUCAUGGAUGCAUAGGUUAAUAUUAGUCUAAUGUCCUAUUUCUUCUCCUUUUUACAAUUCUUGAUGUGAAAGAAAAGAAUGAAAGACUUUGUUACGGUUUGGAAUUUGAUUGAUUUUCGGAGUUGAAGUUAAUUAGAUUAAUUUAAUAUUUUAAAAAUUUAGUUGUUCAAAAACUAUAAGUUGCAGUCUUUCUCAUAUUAAUACAAUUAAAAAAAAUAUCUUAAAAUAUUGGUUAAAGUUCAUACAGUUCGACUCUUAAUAAGCGAAAUGGGACAAGUUGAAAUGUAUGAAGGGAAAACUACUAAAAUCAAGUAUAUUAGGUAUUCUACUUGGUUUUAAUUGUUUGUAAGUUUUUUUUCUUAGUAAUAUUCACGUGAUUUGAUUCAUUUUUCAGAUUUAAAUUCAAGAUCCAAAUUUGGUGCAUAAAUAUAUUUACUUUGAAAAUAAUUGUUCUAUUUCUAAAUGUUCAUGCAAAGACUAAAUUACGGGAUCAACAGUGUUUAGCACCCUACUUAACUAGCUUUAGACUGGAAAACAAGGUAUAUGAAGUCAUGGAACUCUUAAAAAAAUGCAAGUUUAUUCAGGAUACAUAGAAAAAUUGAUGGCUCCGCCUCGCCUCCUCUCGAUGAAGGGAGACCUUUCUUGGAGUCAAAUCAUUUUUUGACGCAAAACAACCGAGUCUUUAUUUGGAAGCUAGAGUAGGAAACCGUUCAACACCUCCGCUCUUUUGAUGAUUUCUACCUGUUUCAAUCAUCUUCUUCUUUUUCUUCUGAUCUGAGCUAGUUGCUUCUGAGGAAUUGGUGGUAUAAAACACCUUAUAGCUGCGAAGUGGCAGCUUUUGGAUGUAUGACCUUAUAAGAUCAACAUAGAGAGGGAAUUGAUUAAAUGCAAAAAACACCACAGGUAUGCAUGUUGCUGCGUAUAUUGGAAAUGCUGCAUUCUUGAAAUUAUCCUGGAGGACAAAGAAAUGUGCAGCACAGAAUGAGACCAAGAUAGCAGUUAUCGAUGCAAAAAGCGAAGUUAAUCCAAGGAGCAACUUUCGCGGCAAAUCCUUCUCGAAAUCCUUGUGUUGGCACCGAGAUGUGAGGAUAGCUAAGAAAAACACCAGGGCCGUGACAGAGAAGCAAAGAGAAACAAGUGAUGCUAUAGAAAACACGUCAAAAGCAGGUUCAUGUUCUAAGUGUGGUUUGCCUUUAUCAUCGGCUCCGCCUGGGAUUGUGGCAGAUGUAGUGAAUGCAACUGUAGCAAUUAGUGCUGCUACGACAGAGAAUGACUCGGCGGUUUUGGUGAGCCAUUCGGUGCCCUCUACGAGUAACUUUUCAUGCGUCUCUUCGAAGAUCCGUCUUGGUGUCUGACCUUUCUUGUUAUAACGAACAUCUGAUUGUGGCAAAGUGUGCUUGACAUACUGCAGUACGAUAGGAAAAUUCCUUACAUGUUAGUGUUUUUAAGUUAAUCCCUUGUGAAAUAAAGAGAUGAUUGGUUGUUAAAAAUGUCUUACCUUGUACCACUUCCUUUCGCCUUGCAACUGUAGAGCUUUACCAGGGAUGCGCCACACCUCGAGAUUCUGAUACUUUGCAGCUAGGUGCACCGCAUUGUUUCCAUAUUUGUCCACCUGAUAAAACACGUAUUCUGGAUACUUUCCCCCUAUGAGCCAAUUAUAGACCAUUGUCUGCCUAUGCUCUACAGCCAAAAGCAGUAUGUUCUUCUCUUCGGAGUCUGUAUCUUGAAUGGCUAUUGGGAACUUUUUGAGUAUCCUCCUUACCAUCUCUACAAUACCCAUCUUUGAUGCCACUAAUAGCGGUGUCUCCUUGGUCGUGGGCAAUUCUGUAUUUAGAACUAUAGUCAUUCUAGUUGCUAUUAGCAAACUCAUAGCUUCUGUUAAGUUACAACUGCUUUGAAAAAGAAGAAAAUUGAUCUUGAUUUGGAAUAGUAGAGCAAGUUUUCAGCAUGUUGAUGUUAUAGAUCUAGAACGACGACGACGACAACUUGAGUAAUUAAAAUUGCAAAGUCUUGAUGACAUGGAAGAAAGUUUCCGUGCCACACAAGUAUGACUAGGGAAAAAAGACUCUUUACCGGACUUGGAAUCAUCUGUCUUAAUCUCAUCUGUGCUUGAAGUUUGUGAUUGCUUGAUCGCUGCAGUGUUACUAGGGGCGUCUUCCUCUGUAGUAUCAUCAACUAUUUCAGGAGGUGCGGGAGGAGGUGCUCCAAUUUGUUUAUAUCUGUCUCGACUAUACAGGUCUUCUGGCUUCUCCCCGGUAUUUUUAUAGAAUUUGUAACGUUCUUCUUUCUCAAUCAUCAACUUCAUAAUUUGAACUCCCGAUUUAUGUUUACUUUUCUUUUCCCUUAUUUUUUUAAUCCUUUGGAGUCCUGCAUGAAACAAGAUUUGAGUAUUCACAAUUAUUGUUAAUUUCCAAGCAAGGGGUGAAGCAGAAAAUAUAUCAGAAAGGGGUGGGAACUAUGCUGUUCGAAUGAUUAGUAAGUCUGAUUCUUUUUAGAAUUACGGUUGUUGCACUCAAUAGUUAAGAAAUGUAUGCAUGCUAAUCUAGAAAUGUCGCAAGAAUAAUUCUUACCAAUACCCAAUACAAGUAGUACAAUCUUCAUUAGACAUUUGAGAAACUCGAUAAUGAUGGCAUAAUUGGCUGGAAACAACGUCCCGUUUCCCUUCCCUUCAGCUGGAACUCAACAGAUCAGUUGUUAGCAGAAAUAUGUUGGAGAAUCGUGUACUCUUAAAUCAAUUUUAUGCACAUAGAAAAUGUUCACAUAACUUGGAAACGAAGGAGCGCAAUGCUUUUUUAAUGGAGAAUCAGUAUGGUGAUAUAUUGUGUCUUUUUGCUAGUAUAUUAUAGAAAGAAAAAAUCUUAAGUCUCUUACAGAUAGUGGAAAGAAGGUUCAACUUGGCUAGACUAUCAUCAAAAAUCAUAGUAAAAUUUGUAUUCAUAAUUGGAAGCUAAAGAAUAAUCUAAAACAGAACAAAUAUGAAGAGCCUUUCGAAAAAGAGAAGUAAAGAAAAUAUGUUUUUGGGGAAAAAAGCAUGUAAAGAAUUCUUGCUAUGAACAUAUGAAGAGCGAAGACGCUCGAGUAGGAGUAUAUAUACUCUUCUAGUACUAGUUUGUGUGCUUUAAUUAUGGUUUAUUUAGAAUGUGAUUGAGAUUUCAUCUUUUACGAUGAGUACAUCACUAGUCACUACACACAUUGAUGUCGUAAAGAGCUGCUAUUUAUUAUACUUGAGGUUUCUUAUAACAGAAUAAUUUACCAUAUCACACUUUUAGAAUGUACCUCAUUAUUUAUUUUUGAUACUUUCUGUGUGUGUGUAUAUACUUAGAGCCUGUUUGGAUCGACUUAUUUUUAGUGCUUUUAAGCCAAAAUAGCUUUUAAGCACUUUUGUAGUGUUUGACUAAAAUUCAGAAAGUGUUUUUCAACCAAAAAGGCAAAAGUAAGCCAAAAACCAUAAGUUAGAAUUCCUAACUCAUGAAUUUUGUCUUAUAAGCCAAAAGCUAUAAGCCCAUCCAAAUAGGCUUUGUGGAAUUAUAUCUAAUCAUCGCACGUGGAGGCAAUAUUUAGUUUCAACUGUGUUACAUAUACAAAUGUACGUGUUCAUCUUCAGUAGAAGGAUUCUUGCGAUCAUUUGGAUGGCCUUGGUGUUGAGAGAAAGAAAAUACGUUAGUACGAAUAAGAGUUAUCCUCAUGAUAAAGAUCAUGUACCAUAGAUUUCUUGCCUCUUAGUAACCUGCUUAAGUUGGCAUAACCUGAAAGGUUUAUACGUAGUUACAUACCUGGAAACUUCUUGUCUUGAUUCUCCGUAGUAACUGCAAUAGCAUCUGGAUAAAGAAAAGAAUCAGUCUUUGAAUGUGCAAAAUUCUUAGGUACAAAGUGCCAACAACACUGUCCUCAUGAGAUACGCAGAACUUUGGUUAGUUCAUUGUCGAAAAAAGAUUGGUGUACUUCUUAACUCGACAAGAAUGAGUUAAUAAAAUAGAAGGUUCCUGUGUAAUCAUGCAUACCUCUUCUUGAUAUCUGUGUGCAUGUUUUAAUGAAUUAUAUCUAAUUGUUAUAGUUUGAUGUAAUAUUUAGUUUCAACUGUGGUAUAUAUGCAUGCAUUCACCUUGAAUUCGGGGAUUCUCGGGAUCAUUUUGACGGUCACUUUGAUGACCUUGGUCUGUAGAAAAAGAAAAAUUAGUUAUUACUAGUCAGAGUUAUCCUCCUGAAAAGAUAUAUAUCAUAGUUUCUUGCCUCUUAAGAAAACCUAAGUCCACAUAACCUGAAAAGUUUAUUACAUAAUCACGUACCUUGAGACUUCAUCUCUUGAUUCAUGUUAGGUACUCCAGUUGCAUCUGGAUAGAAAAGAGAAUCAGUCUUUGGAAAAAAGGGGCAUCCCGGUACACUAAAGCUCCCGUAUGUGCAAGGCCGAGGAAGGGCCGGACCACAAGGGUCUAUAGUGCAGCCUUACCUUGCAGAAGGCUGUUUCCACGGCUUGAACUCGUAACCUCCUAGUCACAUGAAAGAAUCAAUCUUUGAGCAAGUAAAAUUUGUAGGUACUAAGUUCCAACGAGAGUUCCCUGAGGCACUCGAAUCAUUUGGUUAGUUCAUUUCGAAAAAAGAGAUCAGUACUAUUAGUUAACUCGGCAUGGGUGGAUUAAUCAACUAGAAUGUUUCUAUAUAAUCAUGUACCUUUACACUUGCUCCCGGAAUAUGAUUCUUUAAUAUAAUCUGGGAUAGGAAAGAGAAAAUCAGUCUUGGUAAUGUAAAACUUUUAGGUAGGAAGUGCCAACAACAGUCUCUCUCAAACACUCUGUCAGUGCAUUUUCAAAAGGAGUUUGGUCUAUCACUUUCGAUGAACCCCCAAAGCAAGUGAGCAACGUCCUUGUUUUGAUUGGUCUCUGUUGGCAUUUCCUACCU